ACUCAAAGGAAUAGACGGGGGCCCGCACAAGCAGCGGAGCGUGUGGUUUAAUUCGAGGCUACACGAAGAACCUUACCUGGGGUUGACAUACCGUUAGUAGGGAAGCGAAAGCUGACCGACCCGUAAGGGAGGCGGUACAGGUGCUGCAUGGCUGUCGUCAGCUCGUGCCGUGAGGUGUUAGGUUAAGUCCUGUAACGAGCGCAACCCUCGGGUCUAGUUACACGAACUCUAGACCGACUGCCCGUGACAAGCGGGAGGAAGGUGGGGAUGACGUCAAGUCAGCAUGGCCUUUAUCUCCAGGGCUACACACACGCUACAAUGGCCGGUACAAUGGGUCGCCAAGCGGUAACGCGGAGCCAAUCCAAUCAAAGCCGGUCGUAGUUCGGAUUGUGGGCUGCAACCCGCCCACAUGAAGUCGGAGUUGCUAGUAACCGCGCAUCAGCCAUGGCGCGGUGAAUACGUUCCCGGGCCUUGUACACACCGCCCGU
Molecule: ribosomal RNA, 488 nt
Filed under: uncultured bacterium
Lineage: Bacteria
Description: partial 16S ribosomal RNA
Rfam family: Bacterial small subunit ribosomal RNA
Source: RNAcentral